Molecule: ribosomal RNA, 468 nt
Filed under: uncultured bacterium
Lineage: Bacteria
Description: bacterial SSU rRNA
Rfam family: Bacterial small subunit ribosomal RNA
Source: RNAcentral
UCUCCAGACUCCUACGGGAGGCAGCAGUGAGGAAUAUUGGUCAAUGGGCGGAAGCCUGAACCAGCCAAGUCGCGUGAGGGAAUAAGGCCCUACGGGUCGUAAACCUCUUUUGCCGGGGAGCAAGGGCGGGGACGUGUCCCGGCCCGGAGAGUACCCGGAGAAAAAGCAUCGGCUAACUCCGUGCCAGCAGCCGCGGUAAUACGGAGGAUGCGAGCGUUAUCCGGAUUUAUUGGGUUUAAAGGGUGCGUAGGCGGGCGUUUAAGGCAGGGGUAAAAUGUGGGGGCUCAACCCCGGCCUGCCGUUGAAACUGGCGGCCUCGAGUGGGCGAGAAGUAUGCGGAAUGCGUGGUGUAGCGGUGAAAUGCAUAGAUAUCACGCAGAACUCCGAUUGCGAAGGCAGCAUACCGGCGCCCUACUGACGCUGAGGCACGAAAGCGUGGGUAUCGAACAGGAUUAGAUACCCGGGUAC